Molecule: ribosomal RNA, 1797 nt
Filed under: human gut metagenome
Description: bacterial LSU rRNA
Rfam family: Bacterial large subunit ribosomal RNA
Source: RNAcentral
AGCCCAGACCGACAGCUAAGGUCCCAAAGUGUGUGUUAAGUGGAAAAGGAUGUGGGAUUUCAAAGACAACUAGGAUGUUGGCUUAGAAGCAGCCAUACAUUUAAAGAGUGCGUAAUAGCUCACUAGUCGAGAGAACCUGCGCCGAAAAUAAUCGGGGCUAAAACACACCACCGAAGCUACGGAUUUCCUACUAAGUAGGAAGUGGUAGAGGAGCAUACUGCAAGGACGAAGCCAAAUCGAGAGAGAUGGUGGACGAAGCAGUAGAGAGAAUGCCGGAAUGAGUAGCGAGAUAUAUGUGAGAACCAUAUAGGCCGAAUAUCUAAGGUUUCCUGGGUGAAGCUAAUCUACCCAGGGUAAGUCGGGACCUAAGGCGAGGACGAGAGUCGUAGUCGAUGGACAACUGGUAGAGAUUCCAGUACUAUGUAUGAUCAGAACUGUGGGGACGCAGGAGGAUAGAUGGACCGCGGAAAGGGAAGACGCGGCCAAGCACAAAGGCGAGGUCAGUAGGCAAAUCCGCUGAUUGAUGCUGAAGUGUGACGGGGACUGAAAGAAAGUAAGGAAGUCAUUGAAUCCACACUGCCGAGAAAAGCCGCUAUUGUGUCAUACAUACCCGUACCGCAAACCGACACAGGUAGAUGAGGAGAAAAUCCACAGGCCGACGGGAGAAGUGUUGUUAAGGAACUCGGCAAAAUGACCCCGUAACUUAGGGAGAAGGGGAGCCACGAGAAGUGGUCACAGAGAAGAGGCUCAAGCAACUGUUUAGCAAAAACACAGGUCUCUGCGAAACCGAAAGGUGAAGUAUAGGGGCUGACACCUGCCCGGUGCUGGAAGGUUAAAAGGAGAGGUUCGGAGAAAUCCAAAGCUUUGAAUUCAAGCCCCAGUAAACGGCGGCCGUAACUAUAACGGUCCUAAGGUAGCGAAAUUCCUUGUCAGGUAAGUUCUGACCCGCACGAAAGGUGUAAUGAUUUGAGCACUGUCUCGACAACACGCCCGGUGAAAUUGAAGAACCGGUGAAGAUACCGGUUACCCGCAACAGGACGGAAAGACCCCAUGGAGCUUUACUGCAGCCUGAUACUGGGAUUCGAUGAUGUAUGUACAGGAUAGGAGGGAGACUGUGAAGGGAGUACGCCAGUAUUCCUGGAGUCGACGGUGGGAUACCUCUCUUACAUCAUUGGGUUUCUAACCUGCAUCCGUAAUCCGGAUGAGGGACAAUGUCAGGCGGGCAGUUUGACUGGGGCGGUCGCCUCCAAAAGAGUAACGGAGGCGCUCGAAGGUCUUCUCAGAAUGAUUGGAAACCAUUCAAAGAGUGUAAAGGCAAAAGAAGGCUUGACUGCGAGGCCGACGGGCCGAGCAGGUACGAAAGUAGGACUUAGUGAUCCGGUGGUAAUACGUGGGAAUGCCAUCGCUCAACGGAUAAAAGCUACCCUGGGGAUAACAGGCUGAUCUCCCCCAAGAGUUCACAUCGACGGGGAGGUUUGGCACCUCGAUGUCGGCUCAUCGCAUCCUGGGGCUGAAGUAGGUCCCAAGGGUUGGGCUGUUCGCCCAUUAAAGCGGUACGCGAGCUGGGUUCAGAACGUCGUGAGACAGUUCGGUCCCUAUCCGUUGUGGGCGUAGGAAAUUUGAGAGGAGCUGUCCUUAGUACGAGAGGACCGGGAUGGACGAACCGCUGGUGUAUCUGUUGCAUACCAAAUGCACGGCAGAGUAGCUAUGUUCGGAACGGAUAAACGCUGAAGGCAUCUAAGCGUGAAGCCGCCCUCAAGACGAGAUUUCCCAUUCGAAAGAAGUAAGACCCCUUGA